Molecule: ribosomal RNA, 296 nt
Filed under: uncultured Streptococcus sp.
Lineage: Bacteria; Bacillati; Bacillota; Bacilli; Lactobacillales; Streptococcaceae
Description: partial 16S ribosomal RNA
Rfam family: Bacterial small subunit ribosomal RNA
Source: RNAcentral
GUCCGCAACGAGCGCAACCCCUAUUGUUAGUUGCCAUCAUUCAGUUGGGCACUCUAGCGAGACUGCCGGUAAUAAACCGGAGGAAGGUGGGGAUGACGUCAAAUCAUCAUGCCCCUUAUGACCUGGGCUACACACGUGCUACAAUGGUUGGUACAACGAGUUGCGAGUCGGUGACGGCGAGCUAAUCUCUUAAAGCCAAUCUCAGUUCGGAUUGUAGGCUGCAACUCGCCUACAUGAAGUCGGAAUCGCUAGUAAUCGCGGAUCAGCACGCCGCGGUGAAUACGUUCCCGGGCCUU